Molecule: ribosomal RNA, 253 nt
Filed under: uncultured bacterium
Lineage: Bacteria
Description: partial 16S ribosomal RNA
Rfam family: Bacterial small subunit ribosomal RNA
Source: RNAcentral
UACGGGGGGGGCAAGCGUUGUUCGGAAUUACUGGGCGUAAAGGGCUCGUAGGUGGCCAACUAAGUCAGACGUGAAAUCCCUCGGCUCAACCAAGGAAGUGCAUCCGAAACUGCCGUACUUGAGUACUUAAGAGGAUCGCGGAAUUCCCGGUGUAGAGGUGAAAUUCGUAGAUAUCGGGAGGAACACCAGUGGCGAAGGCGGCGAUCUGGGAAGAUACUGACGCUGAGGUGCGAAAGCGUGGGGAGCAAACAGG